GAUGAAGAACGUAGUGAAAUGCGAUAAGUAAUGCGAAUUGCAGAAUUCCGUGAGUCAUCGAAUCUUUGAACGCACAUUGCGCCCCUUGGUAUUCCGAGGGGCAUGCCUGUUCGAGCGUCAUUAUAACCCCUCAAGCUCAGCUUGGUGUUGGGGCCUGCUGCACUGGCAGCCCUUAAAAUCAGUGGCGGCGCCAUCUGGCUCUAAGCGUAGUAAUUCUUCUCGCUAUGGAGUCCUGGUGGAUGCUUGCCAUCAACCCCCAAUUUUUCUAUGGUUGACCUCGGAUCAGGUAGGGAUACCCGCUGAACUUAAGCAUAUCAAUAAGCGGAGGA
This 329-nucleotide unclassified non-coding RNA is filed under the name soil metagenome. RNAcentral's name for it is "partial contains 5.8S ribosomal RNA, internal transcribed spacer 2, and large subunit ribosomal RNA". The stretch from base 1 to 120 matches the Rfam family "5.8S ribosomal RNA", at positions 35 to 154 of the family's 154-position model. The record is from RNAcentral.